GUCCACACCACACAGUAGUCAGGCUGGCUGACUACUGCCAAGGUCCCUGCACUACUCAGUCCUUGUGAAUCUGCCCAGCAGCAACGAUGCCAGGAGAUCUAGGCUUCCUCUCCGUGGAGCUGUGCAGCCCACCCACCGCACCCUGAGCCACCAGCUUCGAGGGGAGGGAGCCCCCUCCCAUGCCUGUCCAAACUGCCUGACUCGUGAUCCUCUCAGCACACUUCCUUCCACUGUCCCCGCACUGGCAGCAUUCAGCGCAGUGCCUGGCACGUUAACAGGCACCGAAUCAAAACGCCAGCUGGCUGACGGAGACGUGUAGAUGAUAGCGCCUGCUUUAAGAUACAUCCACUCACCACAGCGUAUUAACCAGCAAGGCUUUUUCUCUCUCGAAGCACAUGGGGCAGAGCCCGUGCCAGCUGCCAUCCUGGGACCCCAAAACAAGCAGACACUGAUGCGUUCUACUCACUGGACAAUUCCCUGAGCAUCCACAUCUGCUUCAAAGGAGAGAAAUGAUUGCCACAGCAGAACAAGAGAAAAUUCCAGUUUUCUACAGAAGCUAUGAGCGGCCUGCCAACAUCUGGGGCCACAGCACCCAGCCUGCGAGGCCGGAGCCCUUGUGCAC
Non-coding RNA from Phascolarctos cinereus (koala), 622 nucleotides. The record is from RefSeq and is a predicted model, not a curated record. NCBI's taxonomy places the organism in Eukaryota, Metazoa, Chordata, Mammalia, Diprotodontia, Phascolarctidae.